ACGCUCGACACCUACGAGAGGCAGCAGUGGGGAAUAUUGCACAAUGGGGGAAACCCUGAUGCAGCGACGCCGCGUGAAGGAUGAAGUAUUUCGGUAUGUAAACUUCUAUCAGCAGGGAAGAAAGUGACGGUACCUGACUAAGAAGCCCCGGCUAACUACGUGCCUGCAGCCGCGGUAAUCUGAGCGGGCUGGCAAGGC
Molecule: ribosomal RNA, 198 nt
Filed under: uncultured bacterium
Lineage: Bacteria
Description: partial 16S ribosomal RNA
Rfam family: Bacterial small subunit ribosomal RNA
Source: RNAcentral